AGCGAACGCUGGCGGCAGGCCUAAUACAUGCAAGUCGAACGGCUCUUCGGAGCAGUGGCGGACGGGUGAGUAACGCGUGGGAACGUGCCCUUUGGUUCGGAACAACACAGGGAUACUUGUGCUAAUACCGAAUGUGCCCUUCGGGGGAAAGAUUUAUCGCCAUUGGAGCGGCCCGCGUGGGAUUAGCUAGUUGGUGGGGUAAAGGCCCACCAAGGCGACGAUCCAUAGCUGGUCUGAGAGGAUGAUCAGCCACACUGGGACUGAGACCCGGCCCAGACUCCUACGGGAGGCAGCAGUAGGGAAUCCUGCGCAAUGGGCGAAAGCCUGACGCAGCCAUGCGGCGUGAAUGAGGAAGGUCUUAGGAUUGUAAAAUUCUUUCACCGGGGAAGAUAAUGACGGUACCCGGAGAAGAAGCCCCGGCUAACUUCGUG
Molecule: ribosomal RNA, 431 nt
Filed under: uncultured bacterium
Lineage: Bacteria
Description: partial 16S ribosomal RNA
Rfam family: Bacterial small subunit ribosomal RNA
Source: RNAcentral